This 547-nucleotide ribosomal RNA is filed under the name uncultured bacterium. RNAcentral describes it as "bacterial SSU rRNA". It matches the Rfam family "Bacterial small subunit ribosomal RNA", at positions 355 to 896 of the family's 1533-position model. The record is from RNAcentral.
UGGGGAAUAUUGCGCAAUGGGGGGAACCCUGACGCAGCCAUGCCGCGUGAAUGAAGAAGGCCUUAGGGUUGUAAAGUUCUUUCGGUAUUGAGGAAGGUUGAUGUGUUAAUAGCACAUCAAAUUGACGUUAAAUACAGAAGGAGCACCGGCUAACUCCGUGCCAGCAGCCGCGGUAAUACGGAGGGUGCGAGCGUUAAUCGGAAUAACUGGGCGUAAAGGGCACGCAGGCGGUUAUUUAAGUGAGGUGUGAAAGCCCCGGGCUUAACCUGGGAAUUGCAUUUCAGACUGGGUAACUAGAGUACUUUAGGGAGGGGUAGAAUUCCACGUGUAGCGGUGAAAUGCGUAGAGAUGUGGAGGAAUACCGAAGGCGAAGGCAGCCCCUUGGGAAUGUACUGACGCUCAUGUGCGAAAGCGUGGGGAGCAAACAGGAUUAGAUACCCUGGUAGUCCACGCUGUAAACGCUGUCGAUUUGGGGGUUGGGGUUUAACUCUGGCGCCCGUAGCUAACGUGAUAAAUCGACCGCCUGGGGAGUACGGCCGCAAGGUUA